UAAAACUAGUUUUGGGAGAGACAUGAUUUCAUGUGAAGUCAGUUUCUUGCUGCUAUGUAUUGGGGAGUUUGUGAAAUUUGGGUUUGGGACUAAUUUGCUCUUGCUACCCUGCAUUUUUAAUGUCAAUCAUGAGGGAACUUUUGUGCAACUGUAACGUGCCUGCUAGGUCACAGGUUUGAAUCCUAAAAAUAACCUUUUUGCUUGUGGAGGUAUGUCUUCAUAUAUCUACUAGCUGCAAACCCAGCAGUUGGGAGCCUUAUGCAUUGGAUCCAACCUUUUUUCUUGAAGUCAUCGUCUGUGAGCCUAUGCUGAGAUUUCAUUUAUACAACAUUUUAAACAUCAUCACAAGGAAAACACAAGUUCAGAAAAAUAGCAGUUGCACUUGGAGUCAGUCUUAAUUGUGCUUCUCUCAUGGUUUUGCUCUUUGGGAUCUUUUGGUAUAGACAUAAACGACAGCACCAGGCCAUCCUAUUUAUUGGUGAAUAUAAAGAAGAGGGAAUUGUCAGCUUGAAAAAUCUCAAGACUUUCACGUUCAGAGAGCUCCAACAGGCAACAAAUAGUUUCAAUUCUAAGAACAUACUUGGGGCUGGAGGUUUUGGCAAUGUUUAUAGGGGAAAACUUGGUGACGGCUCUAUGGUGGCAGUGAAAAGACUGAAGGAUGUUAAUGAAAGUUCUGGUGAAUCAGUUUCGAACAGAAUUGGAGAUUAUCAGUUUGGCAGUUCAUCGCAAUUUACUUCGCUUAAUUGGAUAUUGUGCUACUCCUAAUGAAAAGCUUCUGGUUUAUCCUUAUAUGUCUAAUGACAGUGUGGCAUCCAGGCUUAGAGG
Molecule: non-coding RNA, 825 nt
Organism: Arachis ipaensis
Lineage: Eukaryota; Viridiplantae; Streptophyta; Magnoliopsida; Fabales; Fabaceae
Source: RefSeq, a predicted model, not a curated record